UCGGCGUGACUCAAUCUUACCGGCGCCUCUAUUCUUAACCUGCCGUUUUUGAACGCUACGGCCGCCGCGUUUUCCCAUACUCCCCACCAGUCCCUCGGUGGUUCGUAUUCCAUUUCUAUUCAUUUCCCAUACUCCCCACCAGUCCCUCGGUGGUUCGUAUUCCAUUUCUAUUCAUUUCCCAUACUCCCCACCAGUUCCUCGGUGGUUCGUAUUUCAAUCAUU
Molecule: long non-coding RNA, 222 nt
Filed under: Brassica napus (rape)
Lineage: Eukaryota; Viridiplantae; Streptophyta; Magnoliopsida; Brassicales; Brassicaceae
Description: long non-coding RNA (BNAP_LNC013336)
Source: RNAcentral